Heligmosomoides polygyrus is the source of this 75-nucleotide non-coding RNA. NCBI's taxonomy places the organism in Eukaryota, Metazoa, Nematoda, Chromadorea, Rhabditida, Heligmosomidae. The record is from Rfam.
GCGCCGGUGGCGUAAUGGCGUAGAGCAUUCGCGCCCGGUCAGAGGGAGGUGCGGGUUCGAGUCCCGCCUGGCGCU